Molecule: ribosomal RNA, 468 nt
Filed under: uncultured bacterium
Lineage: Bacteria
Description: partial 16S ribosomal RNA
Rfam family: Bacterial small subunit ribosomal RNA
Source: RNAcentral
GACGAACGCUGGCGGCGUGCUUAACACAUGCAAGUCGAACGGAAAGGCCCUGCCUUUGUAGGGUGCUCGAGUGGCGAACGGGUGAGUAACACGUGAGUAACCUGCCCUUGACUUUGGGAUAACUUCAGGAAACUGGGGCUAAUACCGGAUAGGAGCUCCUGCUGCAUGGUGGGGGUUGGAAAGGUUCGGCGGUUGGGGAUGUACUCGCGGCUUAUCAGCUUGUUGGUGGGGUAGUGGCUGACCAAGGCUUUGACGGGUAGCCGGCCUGAGAGGGUGACCGGCCACAUUGGGACUGAGAUACGGCCCAGACUCCUACGGGAGGCAGCAGUGGGGAAUAGUGCACAGUGGGCGGAAGCCUGAUGCGGCCCCGCCGCGUGCGGGAUGACGGCCUUCGGGUUGUAAACCGCUUUCGCCUGUGACGAAGCGUGAGUGACGGUAAUGGGUAAAGAAGCACCGGCUAACUACGUG